RNAcentral lists this unclassified non-coding RNA (144 nucleotides) under uncultured fungus. Its description in RNAcentral is "sequence contains ITS1". The record is from RNAcentral. Lineage: Eukaryota; Fungi.
AUUUUUGUUAUAAUAACAUGACGUUCAUUACACAAAGUUUGUAAAAUAACCCAGAAGGGUUCAACAGUUCACAGGUGUAUAUGGAUAUAGUUUAGCCACGAAGGCAAAUCACUAAUGAUCCUUCCGCAGGUUCACCUACGGAAA